AAGGGCUUAGGAUAGUCAUAAGACCAAGGACCUUCAAAGCCCUAAGCAGAAGUGAAAACCUUCUAGCCCUUG
This 72-nucleotide transfer RNA is filed under the name Rasbora pauciperforata (red-stripped rasbora). RNAcentral describes it as "tRNA-Trp". It matches the Rfam family "tRNA". From Rfam's summary of the family: Transfer RNA (tRNA) molecules are approximately 80 nucleotides in length. Their secondary structure includes four short double-helical elements and three loops (D, anti-codon, and T loops). The record is from RNAcentral. Lineage: Eukaryota; Metazoa; Chordata; Actinopteri; Cypriniformes; Danionidae.